Molecule: unclassified non-coding RNA, 192 nt
Filed under: uncultured Auriculariales
Lineage: Eukaryota; Fungi; Basidiomycota; Agaricomycetes; Auriculariales
Description: sequence contains ITS2
Source: RNAcentral
UGACCCUCACCCUUGUGAUGUAAAAAUUUCAAGUGGUGGAUUUGGACUGUGCCGUAGCCGGCUCAUCCUGAAAUGCAUUAGCUGGCGCCUGUUAGAGUGCUUGGCAUAAUAUAAUAAUUAUCUGCGCCGUCGCCUGAUGCCUCUUCUGUGGAGCGCUGCUUACAAUCGUCCCUCGUGGACAAUGACACAAAG